This 286-nucleotide ribosomal RNA is filed under the name uncultured diatom. Its description in RNAcentral is "partial 18S ribosomal RNA". It matches the Rfam family "Eukaryotic small subunit ribosomal RNA", at positions 598 to 888 of the family's 1831-position model. The record is from RNAcentral. Lineage: Eukaryota; Bacillariophyta.
CGUAUAUUAAAGUUGUUGCAGUUAAAAGGCUCGUAGUUGGAUUUGUGGCGUAUGGUGUGUUCCGGGCACUUGUUGUCUGAGUAACCUGCUGUUGCCAUCCUUGGGUGGAACCUGUGUGGCAUUAGGUUGUCGUGCAGGGGAUGCCCAUCAUUUACUGUGAAAAAAUUAGAGUGUUCAAAGCAGGCUUAUGCCGUUGAAUAUAUUAGCAUGGAAUAAUGAGAUAGGACUUUUUUACUAUUUUGUUGGUUUGCGUAAAGAGGUAAUGAUUAAUAGGGACAGUUGGGGG